Long non-coding RNA from Perca flavescens (yellow perch), 1018 nucleotides. RefSeq lists it as uncharacterized. The transcript is spliced from 3 exons. The record is from RefSeq and is a predicted model, not a curated record. NCBI's taxonomy places the organism in Eukaryota, Metazoa, Chordata, Actinopteri, Perciformes, Percidae.
AUUCGCUUCCAGGCACAAUAGCAUUUAUUGCAUGGAUGGAUUUAUUGGCCAGGAGGACAUGCUUAUGCAACGUGGUUACGUUCUUUUUCCGACGGGAAAUCAACUGGGCGCCGGUGAACGAUUCUGCGUAGACCUGGCUCAUCUCGAACAAGCCAAUUUAUUGAAGGUUUGGCGAAUACAAAUCUGUGUUCAGUGCAUAAUGUGCAUGGCAUGGGAGAAGAUACAUUCAUCACCAGGUUGACCACAGCUGGCCGCUUCAGUCCUCGGUGUCGGAGCUGUCUGCUGGGUCGGUGUUGUGGGUCAGCAUGUAGUUGUCCAUGUCGAUGGAGGGGCAGUUGUGGAUGGAGUAACGCAGACGCUCUGCGAGGAUGGCCUGGCUCGUGUACGGGGGCAGGCGAAACAGGAAGAAGCAGGCUUGGUAAUUCGUUAGUGAUGACCUCACCCUAUCAACCUUGAUGAUUUGGAACUUCUGCGUGAUAUCAGCUGGGUUGGAAGGCAACCUGGACCGGCCAGACACAAAACGUAGGAACAGCACUCGCUCCUCAUUGGUGAACUCCUCCAAGCUCUGCCAAAACCAACCAAUAAGCUGGUGGCUCUCGGUGAUGUCACGGUAACGCACCAGCUUCUUUAGCAUCUCAACAGAGACCUCUGGCAGGCCACAGACCAGCUGCUCCAGCUGCUGUGCUGUCAGCAGGGAGAGGAGGGGCACAGGGAUGAUGGUGGACAUGCCCUCUCUGACUGCUGCCACCUGGACACAACAGAACGUCAGCUUUGAUACUUCUGAAGACAAGAUAAAGGGAACAACAACAGCACAACAAACAGUGUUGUCUGUACUGUCUAGUGAGCACUAAUGGAACCUGUAAGGCAGACUGGGUGUUUAAAAUGGAUAAGUUUCAGAUACAGUCGAGAGAAAGCCACGCCAAUGUUUUUAUUGUAUACAAAUAUUGUCUAUGUGGGUCAGGUCCGUUUGGUAAAUUUAGUUAAAAAAAAUGUAUUUAAGGUGUAUUUUUUUGUGUAU